GAGCCGAGCGGUAGAGUCUUCGGAAUCUUGAGAGCGGCGUACGGGUGCGGAACACGUGUGCAACCUGCCUUUAUCAGGGAGAUAGCCUUUCGAAAGGAAGAUUAAUACCCCAUAAUAUAUUAAGUGGCAUCACUUGAUAUUGAAAACUACGGUGGAUAGAGAUGGGCACGCGCAAGAUUAGAUAGUUGGUGAGGUAACGGCUCACCAAGUCUACGAUCUUUAGGGGGCCUGAGAGGGUGAUCCCCCACACUGGUACUGAGACACGGACCAACGGGAGGCAGCAGUGAGGAAUAUUGGACAAUGGGUGAAAGCCUGAUCCAGCCAUCCCGCGUGAAGGACGACGGCCCUAUGGGUUGUAAACUUCUUUUGUAUAGGGAUAAACCUAGAUACGUGUAUCUAGCUGAAGGUACUAUACGAAUAAGCACCGGCUAACUCCGUGCCAGCAGCCGCGGUAAUACGGAGGGUGCAAGCGUUAUCCGGAUUUAUUGGGUUUAAAGGGUCCGUAGGCGGAUCUGUAAGUCAGUGGUGAAAUCUCACAGCUUAACUGUGAAACUGCCAUUGAUACUGCAGGUCUUGAGUGUUGUUGAAGUAGCUGGAAUAAGUAGUGUAGCGGUGAAAUGCAUAGAUAUUACUUAGAACACCAAUUGCGAAGGCAGGUUACUAAGCAACAACUGACGCUGAUGGACGAAAGCGUGGGGAGCGAACAGGAUUAGAUACCCUGGUAGUCCACGCCGUAAACGAUGCUAACUCGUUUUUGGAUUUUCGGAUCAGAGACUAAGCGAAAGUGAUAAGUUAGCCACCUGGGGAGUACGUUCGCAAGAAUGAAACUCAAAGGAAUUGACGGGGGCCCGCACAAGCGGUGGAUAUGUGGUUUAAUCGAUGAUACGCGAGGAACUUCCAGGCUUAAAUGGGAAAUGACGGUUUAGAAAUAGACUUUUCUUCGGAUUUUUCAGCUGCAGGUGUCGUCAGCUCGGCCGGGGUGUACAAGCCCCGCUAUGUCGGACUACAAGGGGAACUG
Molecule: ribosomal RNA, 1018 nt
Filed under: Pseudomonas sp. MS8_1A3
Lineage: Bacteria; Pseudomonadati; Pseudomonadota; Gammaproteobacteria; Pseudomonadales; Pseudomonadaceae
Description: bacterial SSU rRNA
Rfam family: Bacterial small subunit ribosomal RNA
Source: RNAcentral